UCCGGAGUAGCUCAGCGGCAGAGCAGGCGACUGUUAAUCGCCGGGUCGCAGGUUCGAUCCCUGCCUCCGGAGCCA
This 75-nucleotide transfer RNA is filed under the name Alphaproteobacteria bacterium 65-37. RNAcentral describes it as "tRNA-Asn". It matches the Rfam family "tRNA". From Rfam's summary of the family: Transfer RNA (tRNA) molecules are approximately 80 nucleotides in length. Their secondary structure includes four short double-helical elements and three loops (D, anti-codon, and T loops). Lineage: Bacteria; Pseudomonadati; Pseudomonadota; Alphaproteobacteria. RNAcentral also lists the same sequence under 3 other names. The record is from RNAcentral.